Molecule: ribosomal RNA, 248 nt
Filed under: anaerobic ammonium-oxidizing planctomycete Cquenviron-1
Lineage: Bacteria; Pseudomonadati; Planctomycetota; Planctomycetia; Planctomycetales
Description: partial 16S ribosomal RNA
Rfam family: Bacterial small subunit ribosomal RNA
Source: RNAcentral
GUGAGUAACGGGUACGUAAUCUACCUCCGCAACCCGGACAGCAAUAAGACAGGGAAACUAAUGCCGGAUCCGAUCGUUAGGCGGGAGGGGAACGGUGACAGUCGGCCUCGGGAAGAAGCCCGCGCUCGGGGAUGAGCCUGCGUCCUAUCAGCUAGUUGGCGGGGUAAAAGCCUACCAAGGCGAAGACGGGUAGCCGGCCUGAGAGGAUGAUCAGCCACACUGGCACUGAGACACUGCCCAGACUCCUA